RNAcentral lists this ribosomal RNA (486 nucleotides) under uncultured bacterium. RNAcentral's name for it is "bacterial SSU rRNA". It matches the Rfam family "Bacterial small subunit ribosomal RNA", at positions 15 to 518 of the family's 1533-position model. The record is from RNAcentral.
GAUUAUGGCUCAGGACGAACGCUGGCGGCGUGCCUAACACAUGCAAGUCGAGCGAGGAGAUCCUUCGGGAUGAUCCUAGCGGCGGACGGGUGAGUAACACGUGGGCAACCUGCCUCAUAGAGAGGAAUAGCCUUCCGAAAGGGAGAUUAAUACCUCAUAACAUUGCAGUUUCGCAUGGAACAGCAAUUAAAGGAGUAAUCCGCUAUGAGAUGGGCCCGCGGCGCAUUAGCUAGUUGGUGAGGUAACGGCUCACCAAGGCGACGAUGCGUAGCCGACCUGAGAGGGUGAUCGGCCACAUUGGGACUGAGACACGGCCCAGACUCCUACGGGAGGCAGCAGUGGGGAAUAUUGCACAAUGGGGGAAAUCCUGAUGCAAGCAACGCCGCGUGAGUGAUGACGGCCUUCGGGUUGUAAAGCUCUGUCUUCAGGGACGAUAAUGACGGUACCUGAGGAGGAAGCCACGGCUAACUACGUGCCAGCAGCGGC